This 497-nucleotide ribosomal RNA is filed under the name uncultured bacterium. RNAcentral's name for it is "bacterial SSU rRNA". It matches the Rfam family "Bacterial small subunit ribosomal RNA", at positions 28 to 521 of the family's 1533-position model. The record is from RNAcentral.
GACGAACGCUGGCGGCGUGCUUAACACAUGCAAGUCGAGCGGUAAGGCCCUUUCGGGGGUACACGAGCGGCGAACGGGUGAGUAACACGUGGGUUACCUGCCUUUAGCUCUGGGAUAAGCCUGGGAAACUGGGUCUAAUACCGGAUAUGACUCCGCGGUGCAUGCUGUGGGGUGGAAAGCCUUGUGCGGCUGGAGAUGGGCCCGCGGCCUAUCAGCUUGUUGGUGGGGUGANGGCCUACCAAGGCGACGACGGGUAGCCGGCCUGAGAGGGCGACCGGCCACACUGGGACUGAGACACGGCCCAGACUCCUACGGGAGGCAGCAGUGGGGAAUCUUGCGCAAUGGGGGAAACCCUGAAGGAGCGACGCCGCGUGGAGGAUGAAGGCUUUCGGGUUGUAAACUCCUGUCAUUUGAGAACAAGUGCCAACAAGUAACUACUGUUGGCUUGAUAGUAUCAGAAGAGGAAGGGACGGCUAACUCUGUGCCAGCCGCGCUGU